ACCAAGGGAGAAAAUGAGGCCCAUUGGGAGCCAUAUUGCAAAUUGUCAGUUCCAGACCAGCCAUUCUUCCCAUGGCUCUGGUGGACUGUCUGUCCAGAGCACUGCAUCAAUUCAUCAUGCGUAUUCAAGCACCUGUCACAGAGUAUGCUUCAAGGGAAUUUGACCUAAGAUACUCAGUUACACAAGGUGUGUGUUCUUGGGGUAGUCUUCUCUGUGGGAUUUGUAGUAGGUGAAAUUAUUUGACGCUAAGAAGAG
Molecule: non-coding RNA, 255 nt
Organism: Miniopterus natalensis
Lineage: Eukaryota; Metazoa; Chordata; Mammalia; Chiroptera; Miniopteridae
Source: RefSeq, a predicted model, not a curated record